AUUCCAGCUCCAAUAGCGUAUAUUUAAGUUGCUGCAGUUAAAAAGCUCGUAGUUGGAUUUCGGGUGGGAAUGGCCGGUCCGCCGUUUCGGUGUGCACUUGCUACGCCCACCUUGCUGCCGGGGACGUGCUCUUGAGUUCACGCUCGGGACACGGAGUCGGCGAGGUUACUUUGAGUAAAUUAGAGUGUUCAAAGCAGGCCUACGCUCUGAAUACAUUAGCAUGGAAUAACACGAUAGGACUCUGGCCUAUCUUGUUGGUCUGUAGGACCGGAGUAAUGAUUAAGAGGGACAGUCGGGGGCAUUCGUAUUUCAUUGUCAGAGGUGAAAUUCUUGGAUUUAUGAAAGACGAACUACUGCGAAAGCAUUUGCCAAGGAUGUUUUCAUCG
This 386-nucleotide ribosomal RNA is filed under the name Picochlorum sp. RNAcentral's name for it is "partial small subunit ribosomal RNA". It matches the Rfam family "Eukaryotic small subunit ribosomal RNA", at positions 582 to 975 of the family's 1831-position model. The record is from RNAcentral. Lineage: Eukaryota; Viridiplantae; Chlorophyta; Trebouxiophyceae.